RNAcentral lists this ribosomal RNA (801 nucleotides) under uncultured bacterium. RNAcentral describes it as "bacterial SSU rRNA". It matches the Rfam family "Bacterial small subunit ribosomal RNA", at positions 66 to 905 of the family's 1533-position model. The record is from RNAcentral.
ACGAGAGUUUUUAACUCAAGUGGCGGACGGGUGAGUAACACGUGAGAAUUUACCUUUAGGAGGGGGACAACAAUUGGAAACGAUUGCUAAUACCCCAUAUGCUCUAGAGUGAAACGGAUUUUUCCGCCUAAAGAAAAGCUCGCGGCUGAUUAGCUUGUUGGUAAGGUAAUGGCUUACCAAGGCGACGAUCAGUAUCUGGUUUGAGAGGACGAUCAGACACACUGGAACUGAGACACGGUCCAGACUCCUACGGGAGGCAGCAGUGGGGAAUUUUCCGCAAUGGGCGAAAGCCUGACGGAGCAAUACCGCGUGAGGGAAGACGGCCUAUGGGUUGUAAACCUCUUUUUUCAGGGAGGAACAAAAUGACGUGUACCUGAAGAAUAAGCAUCGGCUAACUCCGUGCCAGCAGCCGCGGUAAGACGGAGGAUGCAAGUGUUAUCCGGAAUCACUGGGCGUAAAGCGUCUGUAGGUGGUUUGUUAAGUCAACUGUCAAAUCUUGAGGCUCAACUUCAAAUCAGCAGUCGAAACUAUCAGACUAGAGUAUAGUAGGGGUAAAGGGAAUUUCCAGUGGAGCGGUGAAAUGCGUAGAUAUUGGAAAGAACACCGAUGGCGAAGGCACUUUACUGGGCUAUUACUAACACUCAGAGACGAAAGCUAGGGUAGCAAAUGGGAUUAGAUACCCCAGUAGUCCUAGCUGUAAACAAUGGAUACUAGAUGUUGAACAGAUCGACCUAUGCAGUAUUAAAGCUAACGCGUUAAGUAUCCCGCCUGGGAAGUAUGCUCGCAAGAGUGAAACUCAAA